Long non-coding RNA from Populus nigra (black poplar), 1309 nucleotides. RefSeq lists it as uncharacterized. The record is from RefSeq and is a predicted model, not a curated record. The transcript is spliced from 2 exons. Lineage: Eukaryota; Viridiplantae; Streptophyta; Magnoliopsida; Malpighiales; Salicaceae.
UAUUGGGGAGGGAAACAGAGUUGAGAAGAUGGGAAAUGUUUCUCUGAUUUUAUGUUAGUGGUGGUAGUGUUAGCGAUCAGAGUUGGUGUUGGCCAAUCCCAGCUUACAUAUGAUUACUACAGAUCUUCGUGUCUGAAUGUGGAAACUAUAGUUAGGCAAGAAAUGCUAGGCAUUUUCUUGGUGGAUGUUACAGCACCAGGUGCUUUUCUUAGGCUCUUGUUCCAUGACUGCCAAGUUCAGGUUAAAAAAAAUUAUAUUUCCUUGUUUGUUCUCUGCUUCGAAAAAAUAUGGUAAUGUCAUUAUCAUUAUACUGAUAUCAAAAUUUUUGCUUGGAAUAAGUUUUUUUCCGCAAAAUCCUCCCAUGAGGCGGUUAGCUUGCAUUACGGCUGAGUUUAUAUUAGAUUACCUUUAUGUCCAUCUAAGAAAGAGGGAAAAAGAAAGUAAAGAGGUUAUGAUAAGGGUAGUUUUGCCAUUUGGAAAAGAUAGGGAAACCCUAGUGGAUCCAUUAUUGGAGUAUAAAUAAAGACUCCUCAACCACAACUACUCUUAAAGAUGAAGAUGGAGGAAGCUGGAGGUUGUUGCUGAAGCUCUUUGUGAAUGUUGAAGAAUUAGUUUCAUUGAGUUUGCAAAUGCUGACAAAGAUUGGGAUUGCUAAUAUAAGAGAUGAACAGCAUCCCAUCUCAUUAUUUUCAAAUAUGUUCAAAUUAUGGAUCACUAAUUAAACCUUCAAGUUAAAUGGCAACUCUGAGCAAAAUGCUGCCUUGAGUAUAUAUGAUAUAACCUAAAGUUGCAGCCAUGCCAGCAGAAUCUUGGCAAUGUUUCUAUGGAAAUCUGAAAAGAAAGAAAGAAAAAAAGUGUUGCCAAGACAUCUGUGUUGUUUGCUUGCCUGCUGGAGAUGGCUGCUGUAUCUGUGUCGUAAACCUGGCUGUUCGAAGCAGGUAGAAAAGCUCAUCGCUGGGAUUCUAUUAGCUCUUGCAAGUCUAUAAUGGCUUUAUCAAUUGCAUAAAUUAUCAUUUUCUUUAUCUGUUACACAUUGAUAAAAGGGAAGAAGAAAACCACGUUACUCAUGGAAGCUAAGUUAUCAAAAUGUAAUCCAUGCAAAAUAUGUCUCAGGAAAGAAGUUACCUCAAGUUUAUCUUCUCUAGCUCUGUGGUUCAUCGGAAGUUGUCGGAACUCUUCAGUUAACCGGAGGCAUUCCUUUAUAUUUUCAGGAGAGACGAAAUCUACAGCAACUUUAGUACAAGACUGCAUGGAUAAAACAUAAACAAUUCAGACAUUGUUCAACAAUACAAUAAAAGAUAUUCAGCAA